UACGUAGGGUGCGAGCGUUGUCCGGAAUUACUGGGCGUAAAGAGCUCGUAGGUGGUUUGUCGCGUCGGGAGUGAAAACAGCGGGCUUAACUCGUUGCUUGCUUCCGAUACGGGCAGACUAGAGGUAUGCAGGGGAGAAUGGAAUUCCUGGUGUAGCGGUGAAAUGCGCAGAUAUCAGGAGGAACACCGGUGGCGAAGGCGGUUCUCUGGGCAUUACCUGACGCUGAGGAGCGAAAGUGUGGGGAGCGAACAGG
Molecule: ribosomal RNA, 253 nt
Filed under: uncultured bacterium
Lineage: Bacteria
Description: partial 16S ribosomal RNA
Rfam family: Bacterial small subunit ribosomal RNA
Source: RNAcentral